This 493-nucleotide ribosomal RNA is filed under the name uncultured bacterium. RNAcentral's name for it is "partial 16S ribosomal RNA". It matches the Rfam family "Bacterial small subunit ribosomal RNA", at positions 29 to 507 of the family's 1533-position model. The record is from RNAcentral.
AGUGAACGCUGGCGGUAGGCCUAACACAUGCAAGUCGAACGGCAGCACAGUAAGAGCUUGCUCUUACGGGUGGCGAGUGGCGGACGGGUGAGGAAUACAUCGGAAUCUACUUUUUCGUGGGGGAUAACGUAGGGAAACUUACGCUAAUACCGCAUACGACCUACGGGUGAAAGCAGGGGAUCUUCGGACCUUGCGCGAUUGAAUGAGCCGAUGUCGGAUUAGCUAGUUGGCGGGGUAAAGGCCCACCAAGGCGACGAUCCGUAGCUGGUCUGAGAGGAUGAGCCCGCCACAGGGGAAGGAAACCAGCGCCCACAUCCCUGGGGGGGGCACAGGUGGGAAUUUUGGAAAAGGGGGGGCAAGCCUGAUCCACCAAUCCGGGGGGGGUAAAAGGGCCUUUGGGUUUAAAAGCCCUUUUUUUGGGAAAAAAAAAGCAGCAGUUUAACCCCCCGCUUUUCGGAGGGUACCAAAAAAAAAGCACCCGGCUAACUUCGUG